CCUUAUUUAAAUCUAUUUGCUCGAACAAUUCGGCCCAUCGUUUCUCCCGCUCAGGGUCAGCGGCACCGUUGUCUUGACAGAAAGCCCGGCUCCAACCAAGACAGGACCGUGUCCUGGUAUCGCCCAUGUGAAUGUUGCUUUGCCAGGUUGACUGGGGAGCGACACGACUCUUCAGAACUACGGGCGAACCGAAUCCCACGGUAAGUUGCGCAGACGCGUCUGUUGCUCUGGGAGACUGUGACUGCAAUAGGUACUGACAUUCGCUGAACUCAGACAGGGGGGGCAGAAAUGUCCCUCCCUCGGUGCACACGGACGUACGCAGUGAGCAAACUCUCGAAGGCAUCGCAGGCCUCAGCUCUCUCUAGGGGGUCCUAAACGCACUGCAUCCUUUUAAAAAUUUGUACUUCUGCCAUUUUCCGAGUAUUCAAAUUUUUCAAAAGAUUUAAGCACAAUGAAAGCUCCGGUGGCUCGGUUAGUCUGUCCUGAACACUAGCAUUGCUUGCCCGGUCAUGGCCGUGUGUCAGGCCUGACAAAUACACCUGUUUACAGCCACGCUCUACUCAUGAGAUAAUCCCUGCGCAAAAAAUUGAGCGAUCAAAUAUAGCGACUCACCCCUUAGUUACAGUGAUUCUCAUUGCAUAGGGGACAUGUGGAUGAUAUGCAACAAUGGUUUCUAAAAUGGGGGGGGGGGGUCCGAGCAUAAUUAUCUCAUUAUUGUGCAUGGCCGCCACCAGACAAUGCGCGACUGCACAGGCCUUUGGGAUUAGCAGAGCACCUGGUCUGGAAAGCCGCUGUGGCUGAGCUCGGUCAUCUUCGCUGAAGGAGGGAAAGCAUCGUCACGACUGAAGUUUGGGCCGAGCUCCAGUCAGUCAGCAGCUUUUUAAAAAAAGCACUUUUUAAAGAGCACAGGUUUCUUUCAGGCUGUGUGGGAAAGAGAAAAAGCUACUUCUGUCAUCUAUACACACUGUGUGCGUGUGUGUACUGUUUGCAUGCCUGAAACCUGAAGUUGAUUUUCAACUUUUACACUUGCCCCGGAAACAAAGCUGAUCAAUGAAAACUGCCCCAUUUCAAAAGAAGAGUUCCAGUCUUUUUUGGAACAUACGAGUCUGUGUGAUUUAUCAAAAGGCAUUCCUCUGAGAAAUUACACCUCUACAAGGGCAUUUGGCCCAAAUCAAGGAUGGAUCACACAACAGGCUAUGACUGCUCCCAUUCGUUUACUUUGUCAGAAAAUUGAAUAAUUUAACCCCAUUUGCUUUACAGCAUAUAUUUACAUGUUUAAAAAACUAAACUCAGUGGGACAGCAAUCGGGCUGCACCAGGCUGAGCUGUCAUUCAUAUUAAUGGUGAAGACUUCUGCUCAAAAGGCCAAUCCCACUGCACUACUCCCAGGCAUGAUACCUCCUGGGAUCCAAGGCAGAAUGACUUCAUAAGGUGACCGAAAACACCCAGCAUGAUGUUGCACAACAUUACAGAGCGCCACGUUCGAUAGAAUCAUACUUAGCGUUCUGGAAAUGCCCAGGGGAUGACUCACGACGCUCAGAGUCUAAACACUUCCCACAGAAAGACUGGAUGUUUAACGGACGAGGUUUUAGGUACCCUGCAAAUCCCAUCAUAUAAAUCAAACCGACUGCUCUGUGGAUAUGAAUUCAGAGCCCCACACCGCUGCCUGUUGUUACACUACAUUACAGGCAUUUAGCACACACUCUCAUGCAGAGCUGAACGGUGUUUGUAUUAGUAUUUUAUAGAAUUUAAUUCAGCCGGAUACACACUGAAGCAGUUCAGGUUAAAUACCUUGCUCGGGAGUACAACAGCAGUGCCCUUUAACCUUUAACCUUUAACUUACAGCCCAGUGUCCAAACCAUUAUGCAGCACUGCCUGCCUUGCUUUUGACACAGUGUAUACUGUGGCAGCAUUGUGCAAAGAGGACUCGGUGCCAGAAAUGAGCAGUAUAUCAUAGAAAGAAAAAAAUAAUAAGUAUCACAGCUAAAGAACCGGAUUCAGGAUGAUGACUAAAGCCCCAUUAAACUAAACCACUAGGCUGUCAGCCAACUGCUACAUUAUAAUUUUGCAUUUGUCCUUCAUUCCCCGGCUCUAGUUAAUGUUUCUCAAAAAAAUAAGAGGGAAUUCAACUUCUAACGGAUCCCGAACCAUAGUGCUACCGAAAGGUUACUGAACGGUCAAGGACUGCGGGGAAAGGAGCUCAGAUACUGUAAGACGGCGGCGCGUGUGGAGUCUGCGCAGUCCGUGUGUCUGUAUCGCUCUGCGGCCACGGCUCCGGUUGUGCGUUCCACGAUGUGCGCGAGGGAGAGAGACGGCUUCCUGCGCGGUGUUCCUGGCAUUCGUAGUAUUGUAUGUGGGUAGGAGCGCUGCACGUUACGGUGGCGCCGAGGCGUAACACAUAUGCAACAUAAAAAAACAGCGCCACUUCAGUGAGCCUUUCUCGCCAUCUGCUCUCCGUGUAGACUGCAACAACGCAGAGUGAAAUCAUUUUCAUUUAAAACUCGAACAGAGUUUAUAUGAGUCGAGAGAGAUUAACACUUAACAGAGUAAGAACGUUCUCGACCAGAGUUCAUUUAACACAAACAUUUUACUGUGCGCACGGGCCGAUUUAAGUUAUUAAUACAUUAACAAUUGGGUUCAGCUCUCACCAUGUUCAUAAAACAUUUACCUGCACACUGGCAAAUGAAAUUUAUGAAAAUUUACGAGGGGUGUUAUUUCAUCUCCAUAAAACUAUUCUAUUAAGCAUUUCAUCAAUGUAAGAAAAAAAAUUAAAUAAAAAAUCAGUAGAAAAUGCCCAAUUCAAUAAUGGUAGUCAGUACUGAUUCCUAAUUGAUAACCUUAUUUAUUACUGAGCAGUCAGCCAGUUAUUUUAGCCUGCAUAUUUUGACAUAUUGCCUUAGUGUUAUUCACUGUAUCAAAUGGCAGACUGUCAUGGUCUGUUCCAGACAUGAGAAGAACAUUCAGUAUUUACAUUUCUACUGAGGCAUUCACAGCAUUGUUGCUUGUAAAUAGAACACUUCACCCAGUAAACUUUAAAAGGGGCAGUCCAGUCUCCUGCACCACAAAGGCGUGGAGGAUGAAGGUAUUACUGAUGGAAAGGGAGUCGACAGAAGGACAGAGAUGAGGAAUACUGCGUGUGUGUGUGUGUGUGAGUAUGUGUGUGUGUGUGUUGAUUGGAGGUUGUUAUCUCAGGGAGGUCUACUGGAAUGGUAGGCAUAUAUAUUCGGUGCAGCUGCUGUCUCUGGCCAGCAGGGGGCCUACAGGGCAGUGAGACGCCCAGUCAGUGCAGCCUGCAGCUCAGAGGGCAGGAAGACACCCAGCUCAGUAAUGAUUCCCCCUGUGAUCAGCUGGUGGGGGGUGACAUCGAAGGCUGGGUUCCACACCUCGAUACCUGCAGAGAGAGAGACAUAGAGAGACAGAGGGCGAGUAAGCCAGAGGGGGAGAGAGAGAGAGAUAGAGAGAUAGAAAGUGAGGGAGAGAGAGGGGCGAUGAAGAGCAAGAGAGAGAGAUUAGAUGGAAAUACAACAAAUGUAAUAAUGGAAAACACACUGUAUAUGUAUAUAAAUCUGGUCACAGAAUUCACAGUUUUAGCUUCUCAUUGGCCUGUCCUGCUCUCUCCUCUUUUCAUCUUUAUGGGUAAGUUAUCUCUCCCCAACCUGCUUUCCCCGGUUCUCUCUCUAAAACUUUUGUUGGGUGUGCCUCCUCCCAAACUCAGCCUUUACCUGGAGCAGCAAAGGGCAGGCCGCCAAUACUAGUCAUCUCCACCGGGGGGCGCUCUUCGAUCACAACAUGCCUCCCGCUCUCCAGGCUGAGGUCACAUGAUGUGCUGGGGGCCACCACGUAGAACGGUAUCCUGUGGUGCCUCGCAGCGAUGGCCAGCUGGUAAGUGCCAACUUGGUGGACGGUGUCUCCAUUGGCGACGACCCUGUCGGCCCCGACUACGACCGCUACGGACAGAGGGGUUGACACAAUCGCUACCACAUAGCACCUCAGACGUACAGGAUACCAUGAAAACUCCAUGGGUAAUACAGAGUCAGACACACACCCCAACACUGCCACAGGUUAACACUCCACUCAGAGUGAAUACAGAGCAUAGUAUCUCAUGGGUCUGUGGAAUCUGCUGACAUAACCAAGGCCAGGUAAAGGGGUGGCAGUAUAGUGUAAUGUUUUGGCAACUGUGCUUCCAAUUCUAAGGCUGUAGGUUUGAUUUGAUUUGCCCAUGUAGGGCACCACUGUUGUAUGCUAUACUCAGUGGCAGGGCUGUGGAGAGACCUUUUGAGGGGCUGGUGCUCAAAGUGGCAAAAGGGCACACCAACCUAGAAAAACUAUUUUACUACACCCAGUUAUUGUAAAGAAUACAUGUAAUGUAAGGUAAUGAAAUGUAAUCUAAUGUAAUGUAAGGUAAUGUAACGUAAGGUAAUCUAAUAUAAUUUAAUGUCAGGGAGGCGCACCUGUGAUGGCCCUCGCUCUCAUGGCGACGGCCGCGGCGCUGUCGGUGAUGAGGGUGGCGGGCAGGCCCUCUGCGGCGGCCUCGUGAGCAGUGAGCCGGGCGCCCUCGCCCCCGGGCCGCGUCUCGGUGCAGUAGACCCUCUUCAGCCGGCCCAGCGCGUGCAGCGAGCGCACCACGCCUGCGGGGCGACGGAGACGUAGCGACGUCACUCACACAGCCACACGCGGAGAGCGAGCGCAGGCAAGCGACGCCACGGCAACGCGAGGUCACCCCUCGUCGCCAAAAUCGCAGAUAAAUGCCGUCGUACCGGCAGCCAUGCGGUGCCGUAUCCCGCUGUUGCCAGGGACCCCGUGUUGCCGUGUGUGAGGAUGGUGACGGAGUCUUGGGGAACCCCAGACAGGAUGUGCUGCGCCCCGUAAUUCCCCAUCUUCUGGUUGUCGUCGAUGUCCCGCUGCAGCAUGGCCUCGAUCCAGCCAAUCACGCUGUGUGGCACACAAGCAAGCAGUGGCAGUUCUCCUGCGGCCCGGGCCAUGUUCACAGCCGUGGGUCGGGCGGACGUCAGGACGGCUAGCGACUUUCGUAAGAAGGGCACCAGGCUGUCCCCCCUGAUCCCGGCCCGCAGCUCCACGGCCACACUCAGACACCCCAC
Molecule: long non-coding RNA, 5098 nt
Organism: Anguilla rostrata (American eel)
Lineage: Eukaryota; Metazoa; Chordata; Actinopteri; Anguilliformes; Anguillidae
Exons: 4
Source: RefSeq, a predicted model, not a curated record